UAUUAUGCCAUGAUAUUGUGUCAAUAUGCGAUGAUGUGUGUGAUGGCACAGCGUCAUCACAUGGUGACGCAACAUCAUGACGUAAGA
Non-coding RNA from Myotis lucifugus (little brown bat), 87 nucleotides. The record is from Rfam. NCBI's taxonomy places the organism in Eukaryota, Metazoa, Chordata, Mammalia, Chiroptera, Vespertilionidae.